GACCCGAAACCAGGUGAUCUACCCUUGGUCAGGUUGAAGUUCAGGUAACACUGAAUGGAGGACCGAACCGACUUACGUUGAAAAGUGAGCGGAUGAACUGAGGGUAGCGGAGAAAUUCCAAUCGAACUUGGAGAUAGCUGGUUCUCUCCGAAAUAGCUUUAGGGCUAGCCUCAAGUGAUGAUUAUUGGAGGUAGAGCACUGUUUGGACGAGGGGCCCCUCUCGGGUUACCGAAUUCAGACAAACUCCGAAUGCCAAAUAAUUUAACUUGGGAGUCAGAAUGUGGGUGAUAAGGUCCAUAUUCGAAAGGGAAACAGCCCAGACCACCAGCUAAGGUCCCAAAAUAUAUGUUAAGUGGAAAAGGAUGUGGCGUUGCCCAGACAACUAGGAUGUUGGCUUAGAAGCAGCCAUCAUUUAAAGAGUGCGUAAUAGCUCACUAGUCGAGUGACACUGCGCCGAAAAUGUACCGGGGCUAAACAUAUUACCGAAGCUGUGGAUUGUCCUUUGGACAAUGGUAGGAGAGCGUUCUAAGGGCGUUGAAGCAUGAUCGCAAGGACAUGUGGAGCGCUUAGAAGUGAGAAUGCCGGUGUGAGUAGCGAAAGACGGGUGAGAAUCCCGUCCACCGAUUGACUAAGGUUUCCAGAGGAAGGCUCGUCCGCUCUGGGUUAGUCGGGUCCUAAGCUGAGGCCGACAGGCGUAGGCGAUGGAUAACAGGUUGAUAUUCCUGUACCACCAUUAUUCGUUUUAAGCGAUGGGGGGACGCAGUAGGAUAGGCGAAGCGUGCUGUUGGAGUGCACGUCCAAGCAGUGAGAUUGAGUGUUAGGCAAAUCCGGCACUCUUAAGAUUGAGCUGUGAUGGGGAGAGGAACUUGUUCCUCGAGUCGUUGAUUUCACACUGCCGAGAAAAGCCUCUAGCUAGAAUAACGGUGCCCGUACCGCAAACCGACACAGGUAGUCAAGAUGAGAAUUCUAAGGUGAGCGAGCGAACUCUCGUUAAGGAACUCGGCAAAAUGACCCCGUAACUUCGGGAGAAGGGGUGCUCUUUGAGGUUCACGCUUCGAAGAGCCGCAGUGAAUAGGCCCAAGCGACUGUUUAUCAAAAACACAGGUCUCUGCUAAACCGUAAGGUGACGUAUAGGGGCUGACGCCUGCCCGGUGCUGGAAGGUUAAGAGGAGUGGUUAGCGCAAGCGAAGCUACGAAUCGAAGCCCCAGUAAACGGCGGCCGUAACUAUAACGGUCCUAAGGUAGCGAAAUUCCUUGUCGGGUAAGUUCCGACCCGCACGAAAGGCGUAACGAUUUGGGCACUGUCUCAACGAGAGACUCGGUGAAAUCAUAGUACCGGUGAAGAUGCCGGUUACCCGCGACAGGACGGAAAGACCCCGUGGAGCUUUACUGUAGCCUGAUAUUGAAAUUCGGUACAGUUUGUACAGGAUAGGUAGGAGCCUUAGAAGCGUGAGCGCUAGCUUACGUGGAGGCAUUGGUGGGAUACUACCCUAAUUGUAUUGGAUUUCUAACCCGCAGCACUUAUCGUGCUGGGAGACAGUGUCAGGCGGGCAGUUUGACUGGGGCGGUCGCCUCCUAAAGAGUAACGGAGGCGCUCAAAGGUUCCCUCAGAAUGGUUGGAAAUCAUUCAUAGAGUGUAAAGGCAUAAGGGAGCUUGACUGCGAGACCUACAAGUCGAGCAGGGUCGAAAGACGGACUUAGUGAUCCGGUGGUUCCGCAUGGAAGGGCCAUCGCUCAACGGAUAAAAGCUACCCCGGGGAUAACAGGCUUAUCUCCCCCAAGAGUUCACAUCGACGGGGAGGUUUGGCACCUCGAUGUCGGCUCAUCGCAUCCUGGGGCUGUAGUCGGUCCCAAGGGUUGGGCUGUUCGCCCAUUAAAGCGGUACGCGAGCUGGGUUCAGAACGUCGUGAGACAGUUCGGUCCCUAUCCGUCGUGGGCGUAGGAAAUUUGAGAGGAGCUGUCCUUAGUACGAGAGGACCGGGAUGGACAUACCUCUGGUGUACCAGUUGUCGUGCCAACGGCAUAGCUGGGUAGCUAUGUAUGGACGGGAUAAGUGCUGAAAGCAUCUAAGCAUGAAGCCCCCCUCGAGAUGAGAUUUCCCAACUUCGGUUAUAAG
This 2116-nucleotide ribosomal RNA is filed under the name Staphylococcus pseudintermedius. Its description in RNAcentral is "partial 23S ribosomal RNA". It matches the Rfam family "Bacterial large subunit ribosomal RNA", at positions 712 to 2832 of the family's 2925-position model. The record is from RNAcentral. Lineage: Bacteria; Bacillati; Bacillota; Bacilli; Caryophanales; Staphylococcaceae.